Molecule: ribosomal RNA, 115 nt
Organism: Amphiprion percula (orange clownfish)
Lineage: Eukaryota; Metazoa; Chordata; Actinopteri; Pomacentridae
Source: Ensembl
GUUUGUUUCUGAGACUGAAGACACCCAAUCUCAUCUGAUCUGCAAAGCUAAGCAGGGUUGGGCCUGGUUAGUAUUUGGAUGGGAGACUACCUGGGAAUACCAGGUGCUGUAAGCU